CGGAGGGUGCAAGCGUUAUCCGGACUCACUGGGUUUAAAGGGUGCGUAGGUGGGUUGGUAAGUCAGUGGUGAAAUCCCCGAGCUUAACUUGGGAACUGCCAUUGAUACUAUCAGUCUUGAAUACCGUGGAGGUCGGCGGAAUAUGUCAUGUAGCGGUGAAAUGCUUAGAUAUGACAUAGAACACCAAUUGCGAAGGCAGCUGACUACGCGAGUAUUGACACUGAGGCACGAAAGCGUGGGGAUCAAACAGGAUUAGAUACCCUGGUAGUCCACGCCCUAAACUAUGGAUACUCGACAUACGCGAUACACUGUGUGUGUCUGAGCGAAAGCAUUAAGUAUCCCACCUGGGAAGUACGAUCGCAAGAUUG
Molecule: ribosomal RNA, 368 nt
Filed under: uncultured organism
Description: bacterial SSU rRNA
Rfam family: Bacterial small subunit ribosomal RNA
Source: RNAcentral